GCAGCGUCUGUGCGAGGAAGCCGGUACUCCUCCGGCUGGAGGGCCACCGCGAAAUCCGGCAGCGCCGGCACUGUGUCGUGUGUCCUGUCGACAUUGCUGUAGAGGUCCUUGUUGAUGCGGACUUUGCAGUUGGAGUCCUUGUGGAUCUUGUCGUGGAGAUUGCCUUGAAAAGGGGGAUGCGGUGUGGAAGGCCUCGCAGACGGCCCUGCUCUCCCUCAGGGACUCCUCCGCGGACUGCAGCGCCGCCACGGCCGCCCGAGUUCAGAGAUAUGAGCAAAAGCCUGCAUAUGUACUUUUGCUUCCAUGUGCUUCCACUUGACAAAGAGCCUGUGCUUUUCGCCCCAGCCGUCGAGCAGAGGUAGCUUUCAGGACCCCUUCAGACAGGUCCACGGGAAGACCUUUCCUACACGAAAUGGCAGUCAGUACUCAAUCCUUACUGAACAAUAACUGAAGAAAAAUGGAAGCUUGGAGCAUUGCUCAUCCUGCCGGGCUGGCUAGGGCAAGCGGCAAGAUCACCACCUCUUUUCGGGCGACAUCCUGGGAAGAACAUUCUGCAUGGCGCACUCCAGGUGCCCGGCUGCCUUGAGGAAUAUCUCGACAGAAGCCCGUUUGUUCUCUGGGAAGUGGAAAGUACAAGGGUACAGACAUUCAGAAAGAUUGAAACAUAUACUACUUGUUUGAUUCAGUCGCAGUGGGAAUUAACCUUCCGAUACUUUGGCAUGGUAUCCUUCAAGAGACGUCUUUGGCAGUAGCAGGGAGUUUGCUUGUGAUAAACGGAGCAUGGCCAUCAUGUGCAGAACCGACAGCACCUCGUACCAGGCGCUGGGCAGUGCCGUCUCCUGCACACAUGGAGACAGGUUAAUAAUCUUCAGGUUUCAUCCUUGCAGAAGACAAAGAUUGGCUAUAUCUGUGCAGUGCAGACCUCUGCAUCGUCUUCUUGGUUCAUCCACGCAAACUGUAUCUUGUCCUCCAGCUCGCUGCCUGCCAAGAGUCGAGUAACAAUGAUGGGAAUGCAAAAAUAAGUCUGAAUCUUCAGAGACAGAUGGAUCAAGCACAAGGUGUACAGGUUAAAAUGUUUGAGUUACCAUCCUUCGCCAUCCCUAGAAUGACUGGCAGGUACUCCUCCAAGGCCUGCACAAGAUCAGCGGACGUGGACGCCCCUGCAAGCACAACAUUCAGACCGUCAAAUGCAAAAGAAAAUUCAGACUCUUAAGUGCAAGGGUCAGACUGCCGGUUCCCAAGUUCAGAGUGUUACAUGCUACAGAUUCAGACUGUCAGUGACCAAAUUCAGACAAAGGCUAGCACUAUCAACAUCUGUGUAACAAAUGAAUCAUGGACGAAGACGAACCAUGCU
Long non-coding RNA from Triticum aestivum (bread wheat), 1354 nucleotides. RefSeq lists it as uncharacterized. The transcript has 4 exons. NCBI's taxonomy places the organism in Eukaryota, Viridiplantae, Streptophyta, Magnoliopsida, Poales, Poaceae. The record is from RefSeq and is a predicted model, not a curated record.